UGUUAAAUUAGUCUUCGUCACUUUUGAGAAGUAAAACAAUGUCUGGUGAUGAUGGC
Molecule: ribosomal RNA, 56 nt
Filed under: Brevibacillus parabrevis
Lineage: Bacteria; Bacillati; Bacillota; Bacilli; Caryophanales; Paenibacillaceae
Description: partial 23S ribosomal RNA
Source: RNAcentral